GAUGAACGCUGGCGGCGUGCCUAAUACAUGCAAGUCGAGCGAACAGACGCGGAGCUUGUUCCGCUGACGUUUGCGGCGGACGGGAGAGUAACACGUGGAUCCCCUCCCUAUCAGACUGGGAUAACUUCGGGAAACCGGCGAUAAUACCGGAUGAUAUCUUGCACCGCAUGGUUCAAUGGUGAAAGACGGUUUUGCUGUCACUUCUAGAUGGUUACGGGCCGCAUUAGCUGGUUGGUACGGUAACGGCCUACCACGGCAACGAUGCGUAGCCGACCUGUGAGGGGGAUCGCCCACCCUGGAACUGAGACACGGUCAAGACGCCUACGGUAGGCAGCAGUAGGGAAUCUUCCGCAAUGGUCGAAAGCCUUACGGAGCAACGCGGCGUGAGUUAUGAAGGUCUUCGGAGCGUAAAACUCGGUUAUGAGGUAAGAACAAAUGUGGAAGUAACUAUGCACGUCGUGACGGUACCGAGUCAGAAAGCCACGGCUAACUACGUG
RNAcentral lists this ribosomal RNA (497 nucleotides) under uncultured bacterium. RNAcentral's name for it is "partial 16S ribosomal RNA". It matches the Rfam family "Bacterial small subunit ribosomal RNA", at positions 28 to 507 of the family's 1533-position model. The record is from RNAcentral.